GGGACACGUGGUAUCCUGUCUGAAUAUGGGGGGACCAUCCUCCAAGGCUAAAUACUCCUGACUGACCGAUAGUGAACCAGUACCGUGAGGGAAAGGCGAAAAGAACCCCGGCGAGGGGAGUGAAAAAGAACCUGAAACCGUGUACGUACAAGCAGUGGGAGCCUCUUAAUGGGGUGACUGCGUACCUUUUGUAUAAUGGGUCAGCGACUUAUAUUCUGUAGCAAGGUUAACCGAAUAGGGGAGCCGAAGGGAAACCGAGUCUUAACUGGGCGUUAAGUUGCAGGGUAUAGACCCGAAACCCGGUGAUCUAGCCAUGGGCAGGUUGAAGGUUGGGUAACACUAACUGGAGGACCGAACCGACUAAUGUUGAAAAAUUAGCGGAUGACUUGUGGCUGGGGGUGAAAGGCCAAUCAAACCGGGAGAUAGCUGGUUCUCCCCGAAAGCUAUUUAGGUAGCGCCUCGUGAAUUCAUCUCCGGGGGUAGAGCACUGUUUCGGCAAGGGGGUCAUCCCGACUUACCAACCCGAUGCAAACUGCGAAUACCGGAGAAUGUUAUCACGGGAGACACACGGCGGGUGCUAACGUCCGUCGUGAAGAGGGAAACAACCCAGACCGCCAGCUAAGGUCCCAAAGUCAUGGUUAAGUGGGAAACGAUGUGGGAAGGCCCAGACAGCCAGGAUGUUGGCUUAGAAGCAGCCAUCAUUUAAAGAAAGCGUAAUAGCUCACUGGUCGAGUCGGCCUGCGCGGAAGAUGUAACGGGGCUAAACCAUGCACCGAAGCUGCGGCAGCGACACUGUGUGUUGUUGGGUAGGGGAGCGUUCUGUAAGCCUGCGAAGGUGUGCUGUGAGGCAUGCUGGAGGUAUCAGAAGUGCGAAUGCUGACAUAAGUAACGAUAAAGCGGGUGAAAAGCCCGCUCGCCGGAAGACCAAGGGUUCCUGUCCAACGUUAAUCGGGGCAGGGUGAGUCGACCCCUAAGGCGAGGCCGAAAGGCGUAGUCGAUGGGAAACAGGUUAAUAUUCCUGUACUUGGUGUUACUGCGAAGGGGGGACGGAGAAGGCUAUGUUGGCCGGGCGACGGUUGUCCCGGUUUAAGCGUGUAGGCUGGUUUUCCAGGCAAAUCCGGAAAACCAAGGCUGAGGCGUGAUGACGAGGCACUACGGUGCUGAAGCGACAAAUGCCCUGCUUCCAGGAAAAGCCUCUAAGCAUCAGGUAACAUCAAAUCGUACCCCAAACCGACACAGGUGGUCAGGUAGAGAAUACCAAGGCGCUUGAGAGAACUCGGGUGAAGGAACUAGGCAAAAUGGUGCCGUAACUUCGGGAGAAGGCACGCUGAUAUGUAGGUGAAGCGACUUGCUCGUGGAGCUGAAAUCAGUCGAAGAUACCAGCUGGCUGCAACUGUUUAUUAAAAACACAGCACUGUGCAAACACGAAAGUGGACGUAUACGGUGUGACGCCUGCCCGGUGCCGGAAGGUUAAUUGAUGGGGUUAGCGGCAACGCGAAGCUCUUGAUCGAAGCCCCGGUAAACGGCGGCCGUAACUAUAACGGUCCUAAGGUAGCGAAAUUCCUUGUCGGGUAAGUUCCGACCUGCACGAAUGGCGUAAUGAUGGCCAGGCUGUCUCCACCCGAGACUCAGUGAAAUUGAACUCGCUGUGAAGAUGCAGUGUACCCGCGGCAAGACGGAAAGACCCCGUGAACCUUUACUAUAGCUUGACACUGAACAUUGAGCCUUGAUGUGUAGGAUAGGUGGGAGGCUUUGAAGUGUGGACGCCAGUCUGCAUGGAGCCGACCUUGAAAUACCACCCUUUAAUGUUUGAUGUUCUAACGUUGGCCCCUAAUCGGGGUUGCGGACAGUGUCUGGUGGGUAGUUUGACUGGGGCGGUCUCCUCCUAAAGAGUAACGGAGGAGCACGAAGGUUGGCUAAUCCUGGUCGGACAUCAGGAGGUUAGUGCAAUGGCAUAAGCCAGCUUGACUGCGAGCGUGACGGCGCGAGCAGGUGCGAAAGCAGGUCAUAGUGAUCCGGUGGUUCUGAAUGGAAGGGCCAUCGCUCAACGGAUAAAAGGUACUCCGGGGAUAACAGGCUGAUACCGCCCAAGAGUUCAUAUCGACGGCGGUGUUUGGCACCUCGAUGUCGGCUCAUCACAUCCUGGGGCUGAAGUAGGUCCCAAGGGUAUGGCUGUUCGCCAUUUAAAGUGGUACGCGAGCUGGGUUUAGAACGUCGUGAGACAGUUCGGUCCCUAUCUGCCGUGGGCGCUGGAGAACUGAGGGGGGCUGCUCCUAGUACGAGAGGACCGGAGUGGACGCAUCACUGGUGUUCGGGUUGUCAUGCCAAUGGCACUGCCCGGUAGCUAAAUGCGGAAGAGAUAAGUGCUGAAAGCAUCUAAGCACGAAACUUGCCCCGAGAUGAGUUCUCCCUGAGACUUAGAGUCUCCUGAAGGAACGUUGAAGACGACGACGUUGAUAGGCCGGGUGUGUAAGCGCAGCGAUGCGUUGAG
RNAcentral lists this ribosomal RNA (2491 nucleotides) under Escherichia coli. RNAcentral's name for it is "partial 23S ribosomal RNA". It matches the Rfam family "Bacterial large subunit ribosomal RNA", at positions 419 to 2890 of the family's 2925-position model. The record is from RNAcentral. Lineage: Bacteria; Pseudomonadati; Pseudomonadota; Gammaproteobacteria; Enterobacterales; Enterobacteriaceae.